UACGAAGGGGGCUAGCGUUGUCGGAAUUACUGGGCGUAAAGCGUGCGCAGGCGGCUUUCCAAGUCAGUGGUGAAAGCCCGGAGCUCAACUCCGGAAAUGCCAUUGAAACUGUGAAGCUUGAGAACGGAGAGAGGUGAGUGGAAUUCCCAGUGUAGAGGUGAAAUUCGUAGAUAUCGGGAGGAACACCGGGUGGCGAAGGCGGCGAAUCUGGGUCGAUACUGACGCUGAGGUGCGAAAAGCGUGGGGGAGCAAACAAGGG
RNAcentral lists this ribosomal RNA (259 nucleotides) under uncultured bacterium. RNAcentral's name for it is "partial 16S ribosomal RNA". It matches the Rfam family "Bacterial small subunit ribosomal RNA", at positions 524 to 778 of the family's 1533-position model. The record is from RNAcentral.